Molecule: non-coding RNA, 28 nt
Filed under: Mus musculus (house mouse)
Lineage: Eukaryota; Metazoa; Chordata; Mammalia; Rodentia; Muridae
Source: RNAcentral
UACUUCUCUGAGCAAUGAGAGCAACAGC